UACAGAGGUCUCAAGCGUUGUUCGGAUUUAUUGGGCGUAAAGAGCUCGUAGGCGGUUCGAUAAGUCGGAUGUGAAAUCUCCACGCUCAACGUGGAGGGGCCAUUCGAUACUGGCGUGACUCGAGUCCGGUAGGGGAGUGUGGAAUUCCCGGUGUAGCGGUGAAAUGCGCAGAGAUCGGGAGGAACACCCGUAGCGAAGGCGGCACUCUGGGCCGGUACUGACGCUGAGGAGCGAAAGCGUGGGGAGCAAACAGG
RNAcentral lists this ribosomal RNA (254 nucleotides) under uncultured bacterium. Its description in RNAcentral is "partial 16S ribosomal RNA". It matches the Rfam family "Bacterial small subunit ribosomal RNA", at positions 524 to 776 of the family's 1533-position model. The record is from RNAcentral.